Long non-coding RNA from Spodoptera litura, 397 nucleotides. RefSeq lists it as uncharacterized. NCBI's taxonomy places the organism in Eukaryota, Metazoa, Arthropoda, Insecta, Lepidoptera, Noctuidae. The record is from RefSeq and is a predicted model, not a curated record.
UGACAUUGGUAGUACAAUUAAAUCGUUUGCGUGAUUCACACAAUAAUAAAAAGUCCCAAAAAAACUUUAUUAUUCUAAAAACUUUUAAAAACUAGUUCCUUUCCACAACGUUGCCGGUCCAUUUUGACCUGUUUUAGGCCCUAUAAAGUACUCUUUACCCUCAAUAGAAAAUGUGUUGCGGACCUUGUGGUGGUUGCUGCGGCGGUUGCUGCGGUGGUUGCUGUUGCCCAUGCAUCACUAUCUACACUUGCUGCACGAAGAUUUGCUAGUCGCACACGAGAUUUUGCGCGGACAAGCCAUGGUGUCUGCGUCGAAAUCGGCGCUUGAACGCCUUCAUGUUUGUCUUCGAAGUCAAUCCGUGCCGUUUUGUGGAAAUAAACUACUAUAAAUAAGCGUA